GGCGCCAUUUUGGUGUGGCGCCGCCGCAGUUAACCCGGGGAGUGCCAGGGCCGCCGCUCUGCAGUGGCGCCUCAGCGCCUUCUUCUGCCCGGCUUCAAAGCGCGUUCUCGUACUGUAGAUGCUGCUAGGCACAGAGAAAGAUGCCUGUGUUAGCGCAGAGAUCCAGCGGGCCCUCUGCUGUUAUAAGAAAUGUGUGUCGUGCCCACGGUUUCACCCACUACAACGGGCUGGGAAACAGUGGUUCAAAACAGUUGCAAAUAACGUGUUUAAUCUACACUGCACAAAUAAAGACCUUGUUAGGAAAUGGAAAACGAGGUGAAUUAUUACCUCUAAAGCCAAGAGGGUUUCAAUGAACGAGACUGGCCACUUGAGGUUACAGCCCUGCGCUCCCAGAUGUAAAAAGCUGUCGUAAAAACAGGAUGCAGAACUAAGAGCUCCAGAAAGAGCUGAAAAAUUGCCCCAGCUGGAGUCCUGUAGCAGACCAUGCAAAGUUACAUGACAUUCUCAGAGAUACUCUGCUUCUCUCCUUCCAGCUGUGUAUAAAAGCUAUAUCCAUCGGUAAGAUGCAGUGCAUGAUAUUGAAGGACAACAGUCACAACCUUGUUAUCAGUCGUACCCAAAAGAAGUUGUUCGUAGCAUCAAACAUAAUCUAACAACCAGCUAUGUUAUUUCUCCUUCAGGCUCACUGAAAUGCUAUAUAACAAACUGCUGGCAGCAGUUGUGAUAGCACAGACAUUUUCUAUUCACAGGUUGACCCAAGAUAACCUUGCUUAGUUUACAAGAUCUUCCAGUCCUCUGCUUGAACUAGUUCAGCUGAAGGCAUGAUAAUAGUUUGACUGCAAUAUGAUUCAGCUAAGAAUUCGCUUGUAUUUUUGAUGCUUCAAAAGCACACUUAGCAGCUACCCUCAAGUUUUUACCCAUAGUCUUUCUUUACGUUUUUUUCUGUACUUUACAUUGAAUUUGUAACUCACCAUCGGUCAGAAUUUUAGUGCAUUCAUUUCUACAUUCAGUCGUGUAUUUCAACUAUAACAUAGUAUUUUGUCUUGGUGGCCACUUCCAGAAAGUCAACUCAACUGCAGCAAAAUCCAGUUUUUAGAUAUUUGAGUCCUUGAUCUAGCCAAGUCAGAGGGGAAAAGUUGUUUAGUGAAAAAAAUGUUAGUGGUGUUGAUAUAGGAAGUAGUGGCUCAUUAUGAUAUCUGCUGUUGGGAGUUAUCUGGGACCGUCAGCUGUUGAGAAGCUGUAUUUUGCUUUCCAUAGCUUAUCUGCUGUGAGACAUGCUACGGAAUGACUCUGCAGCAUGUUGGAAUCCAUUCUGCAGUUUCAUAACCAUUCACCAAUCUUCUUCCUGAAGCGGUUUCCUUAGAGCAAGACACAGUCCUAUGUUACCACAGCUGGAUUUCUGCUUUUUUUUGUCUCCAAGAGAUCAUUAGCAGGUGGGGGGAGGGGGAAAGAGGAGGUUUGGCUGAAAAUAAUGACUGUCUCCAAGGAGAAAAAGGAGUUUCAUUCAUACAACAACAAAAAUCAUUAGGAUAGUCAUGCAGUUAAGACACUCAAGGAAGUAAGAGUUACUUGAAUUUUAUUAGAAAUGUCAGCAGUGCUGAUCUUUGGGGCUUUAUGCAAGCUACUUAAUUUUCUGCCUUAAAUCUUCCAUAUGCUAGAGUAAUGUUUAUAUACCUAAAAUGUGUCUUAUACAUAAUCAUCACAGAGGGAUUUUUGCUAAUUUGAUGUCAGGAAAGUUCAUUCUGGCACAGUCAAGUAUAAAAACUUUUAUAGUGUGUCCA
Molecule: long non-coding RNA, 1781 nt
Organism: Pezoporus occidentalis (night parrot)
Lineage: Eukaryota; Metazoa; Chordata; Aves; Psittaciformes; Psittacidae
Exons: 2
Source: RefSeq, a predicted model, not a curated record